GAAGGAGAGCAAGGGAGGAAAGAAAGGGGGAGCAAGGAUCCUACUAAGGAGUAGAAUCAAAAAGUGAAGGGACAACGCGGCAUGAGGUCAUCAGCUAUCCACCGACACUUGAGAUUCAAGAUGUUGAUUCAGGUAAUCGUCUGGAGUCUGUGGCUGAGGAGCCAGCUCUCUAUGGAGGUGACCUCUAGGACGAGGAGCUAGCUACGCACGAGGACAAUUGUGUAUAUGACGACUGUGCAUUCGGAGCACAUUAAGGAUGAAAGUGUCAUCUUUUAUUUUUUUUAUUCUUUUGUUUACAUAUCAAAUGUAGCUAU
Long non-coding RNA from Macadamia integrifolia, 314 nucleotides. RefSeq lists it as uncharacterized. The record is from RefSeq and is a predicted model, not a curated record. NCBI's taxonomy places the organism in Eukaryota, Viridiplantae, Streptophyta, Magnoliopsida, Proteales, Proteaceae. The transcript has 3 exons.